Molecule: unclassified non-coding RNA, 360 nt
Filed under: uncultured fungus
Lineage: Eukaryota; Fungi
Description: sequence contains ITS1
Rfam family: 5.8S ribosomal RNA (bases 1-101)
Source: RNAcentral
AAAGUGCGACAAGUGUCAUGACUUGCAGAUACCCGAGAGCUGACAAAUUUCUGAAUGCAAAUUGCAGCCAAGUUAACCUGGCUAUGCAUUGCAGAGAGUACUUCGCUUAUGCGCUUCAUCCAGAGAUGGAUUCAUCCCUGGGACAUGCGAUUGCGCGAAAAAUGGAAACUGCACCACACGGUGCAGUUCUCAACAUUCACAACACCGCACCUACAACAACGUUGUGGCGCGCGUGUUCCGCGAUCGUCAAAGGAAGAAAACCAUCGAGUUUUCCUGGAUUAUCAAUAUCUGAGUCGAAAAGAACUUCUCUUCUCUUCUCACCCCUUACCUCUGCAAUGCAGGAGAACCCGCUGAACUUAA